UAAGAAAGCAUGCUUUUGCUAUUCUAUGUUCUUGUUUUAUAAAAUCUGACAAGAAAAUUGGAGAAACAAGUUUGAUGAAAAUCCCUUUUCCAUUUUAGCGUGACACCCAAUAUACAAAAGGUUCCCAGUCUGUGUAGUUAAAGACAAUCAGAAAGCCCCUUAGAAUUAUUUUUUUAAUUUGUUUAAAACUGUGAUGUCAAGUUUUGUUUUUUGUAGUAUAUCUUCCUUUUAUAGGGGAUCUUACUAUUGGAUGAGAAAAAUGCAAGGAAGGGAGCUUUUUGCCUCAGAAAAUGCAAGAAAGAAAGCCAACUCACACAUCUGGUUUGAAUUAAUUUAGGCUUACAGUGUAUUACUUGUGUUUCAUAGAUAAUUGAUGGUCUCAUGGUUAUAUUUUCUAUGGUCAUGCAAAUGGCAUCCAACAUCUUCUGUGCAUGUGUGCUUACUUGGUGUCAAGUGCUUUAUUUGAGACUUCUAUUGAGCAGAAAGCUAGUAUUGACUGGCAGUACUGAUGCCUUUCGUAGUUCUGUUAUAUUAUUGUUUUCAUAUAUCUCUUUUGAGGCAAAGCUUAUAUAAAUUGCUCCAUUGGGUUGGCUCAUCAACUUGUGUUCCUAAAAUAAAAUCUUGAAAAUAAGAUUAAUUUGCCGAUGAAUGAACUUGUUUCUUGAAUAAUCUUUGAUUAGUUAGGCAUAUGGAAAUUUUCUUGAUUAACUUUUGUUGAUUCCCUUCUACUGAAAAUUGCGGGUAAUGCUUCCAAGGACACGUGUAUGCAGGAUCAGUGUUAUGUCUGGUUUUUCCGGAAUGGGUUUUUCAACUAACAAAAUUUUCUGAGGCUUCUUUCCUUGUGUCAUUAGCUUUGUAUAUUCUUUAUGGUCUUUAACUUUGUUUAUUUUUUCUUGAGCUCAUAAAUUGUUAUAAGGAGUCUAGUGGCUUGCUUCAAGUUAAUUUUUCCAUAGUGUUCGGUUUUGCUAAUGCAAAAAACUUUUUCAAUGGUAAAACUGUGCUGAUAGAUAUAUUAUAUUUAUUUCUCAUGUCUUAUUCAUUAACUACUGGUCUUCACUUUCGACUCUAGUAUGGUGUGAUGAUCCCGUCUUUCCUUGCCGGAUACACCAUUGCACUUUGUGUUUAGUAGUAUAACUUGGCGUGCGCAUUGAAAAGGCCCAUAAUGGUGCACUACAUGCAGGCUUUACCAUGCAUAGAUGCCAAUAGUAAAUUUUAGAUUGUUUCUAAACCUGUUCUAAAAUUUAGAUGCCAAUAGGGAAAUAACCUUUCUCAUACCAAGGCUUUCUGAAGUUUUUCUUUUAAAUCAUCUUGUUCUUCCUGGAACUUCAGAUAUCACAGUGGGCUUUUUUUUUUUCAGAAAACAAGAAUAGAUAUGCAACACAGUACUUGAAAAAUUAUUUUAUUGAUAUUCUGUUCAAAAUGUAUAUUACUUGUUCAAAAUGAAUACUUGUAGAAACUUGACUCUCAUUUGGUAUAUUUGUUAUAUUUCCUACAUCUGCUUCAAAUUAGUCAAUGCAGUUGAUGUUUGGUGGUUCCGUUGUUUAACAGAGUUAUUUAGGCAUAUCUGAUGCAGUCUAUUAUGAUGAACUGGAUUAAGCUCACUCUAGGAUCUUGUGAAACAUUGUGUUCCAUCUGUUCCUUUGCAGCCUGAAAUUUUCUGGCCAGCUUGAGAAACCUUGGUUUUUUUCUGAUGAAAAAUAUUAAUGUGGUAAUGAGGCAUCAUGAUCAUAAUAUGUCUGAGCAAGUACAGAUAGUUC
This 1757-nucleotide long non-coding RNA is filed under the name Musa acuminata (dwarf banana). RNAcentral's name for it is "long non-coding RNA (MACU_LNC002092)". The record is from RNAcentral. Lineage: Eukaryota; Viridiplantae; Streptophyta; Magnoliopsida; Zingiberales; Musaceae.